Molecule: ribosomal RNA, 253 nt
Filed under: uncultured bacterium
Lineage: Bacteria
Description: partial 16S ribosomal RNA
Rfam family: Bacterial small subunit ribosomal RNA
Source: RNAcentral
GACAGAGGCCCCAAGCGUUAGGCGGAAUCACUGGGCUUAAAGCGUGUGUAGGCGGACGCCUAAGUGUCUUGUGAAAUCCCACGGCUCACCCGUGGAACUGCUGGGCAUACUGGGCGUCUUGGGCCAACUAGGGGCAGCCGGAACAAGCGGUGGAGCGGUGAAAUGCGUAGAUAUCGCUUGGAACGCCGAAGGUGAAAACAGGCUGCUGGGGUUGUGCCGACGCUGAGACACGAAAGCGUGGGGAGCAAACAGG